Molecule: ribosomal RNA, 330 nt
Filed under: Thermoleophilia bacterium
Lineage: Bacteria; Bacillati; Actinomycetota; Thermoleophilia
Description: bacterial SSU rRNA
Rfam family: Bacterial small subunit ribosomal RNA
Source: RNAcentral
UUCACGGAGAGUUUGAUCCUGGCUCAGGACGAACGCUGGCGGCGUGCUUAACACAUGCAAGUCGAACGAGAAAGCUCCUUCGGGAGUGAGUACAGUGGCGAACGGGUGAGUAACACGUGGGUAACCUGCCCCAGAGAGCGGGACAACCCGGGGAAACCCGGGCUAAUACCGCAUAAUUCGCAUCUCCUCAAGUAGGUGCGGCAAAUGGUAGCUUAGGCCUCCGCUCUGGGAUGGGCCCGCGGUCGAUUAGCUUGUUGGUGAGGUAACGGCUCACCAAGGCGACGAUCGAUAGCUGGUCUGAGAGGACGAUCAGCCACACUGGGACUGAGA